CUCCGCCGCCGCGCUGCCCUCCCUCCCUCCCCUGCCGCCGCUCCGAGACCAAGACAUCCUGACACAAUCAUGGGGCUCCUUUGAAAACUGCAUCAAGCAAUUUAGCAGUUGGGGAGGGAGGAAUUAUAUCCAUUUGAAAAGAAACCUCACACAUGCAGAGAGGGAAUAACCCUCCAAAACGCUCGGUAAAUUUCCCUCGACCGUCUUUACCGCCGAGGAAAUAUCCUCCAGCUUAAAAUCCCUUUCCGAAGGGGCGUCCCGUUGCUCUGGAGCCGAGCGGAGGAGGCUACAGCUGCAGUGAGGAGCUCUCCACGGCCAAGUCCCAUUUCGUUCGGGAGCGCGGGUGAUCUCGGCCGCAGCACCCUGGAGGUCCCGGUGCAGCCCCAAAUCCUGCACGCUCUGUAUGCUCUGUACACACAUACACAUAUCUGCGUGUGUGUGUGUGCGUGUGCGCGGGGAUACACACACGCAGAAAAAUCCCAAGCAGAGCCUGGAGAGAGCACAAGCUAUCUCUGGAUUUUGUCAGAGACAAAACAGGCCGGGGACAGUCAGAACAAAAACCAAGGGGACUCGGGAUAGGAUUGCCCAGAAUUUUCCUCUUCUCCCUAAAUUUUCGCAUCAUUCUCCCACUCGUCGCCGUGGCCAUUUCUCUGGGGUGUCUCCCGCACAACCCCCGGCCUCUCCUAGCCCGGCCGCGGCCGCUGAGCUCCAGCCCGGCCUGCCCCGGGAACACCUCCCGAAGCCCCUCUCUUGAACUUUUCCUGCCCAAGGUCUUGACAGGCUGCUCUCGCUGUCCUCUUGGCGUCUACAUGGAGAAAAUCUGGCAGGGGCUUCCUUCCCAGAAAUCCCCGAUCUGCUCCAAGCGCACUGAGAGGCAGCCUCUCUCGGAGGGAGGGGUGCACUACGUUCGCAGUCAGAUUACAUGACUGGCCUCAUAGGCACUAGCUCCGGAUUUCCAAACUAAUAUUCAUCCCUUAAAAGAUGAAGAAAAUGAGAGGAAGGUCUCAGACGCGGGAGACCUCGGGGGAUUCGUGACCACAGCGGGGAGGAGACGUGACCCAAGCAGGUCGUGUCUGGAGGGGGGCUGACUGACUUAAAGGAGAGGGUGAAAUGCCUAAUUUAAUUCUUUUCCGGACGCCCUAAACCCCCGUCAGUAUGUCUGAGCGUGCUGCGAGCCCUUCAUAGGAGUGCAGUCCUCGGCGGGAGGGACGGGAUCCCGGGCCGCCAAGCGCCGAGACGAGCGGGGCUCUCAGGAGCUGGGCCGGGAUGGGGGGCUCCGGGAGAGCCCGGGCUCAGGCCCCCCGGCCUCUGCCGAGCAGGUGGAUCCCAUCCGAGGAGGUGUCGCAGGCAGGCCUGGCUCCCCCGAGCACCCGGAGCCUCGCGUGAACGGGGCCUCUCUCCCCACUCAGCCGGGGAUCCAGAGCUGGG
This is a long non-coding RNA of Lepidothrix coronata (blue-crowned manakin), 1428 nucleotides long. RefSeq lists it as uncharacterized. The transcript has 3 exons. The record is from RefSeq and is a predicted model, not a curated record. Lineage: Eukaryota; Metazoa; Chordata; Aves; Passeriformes; Pipridae.